RNAcentral lists this ribosomal RNA (1926 nucleotides) under Triticum aestivum (bread wheat). RNAcentral describes it as "partial small subunit ribosomal RNA". Lineage: Eukaryota; Viridiplantae; Streptophyta; Magnoliopsida; Poales; Poaceae. The record is from RNAcentral.
AUGUGUUGUCCAUGCACUGAAUGUGGGAAUACGAGGUCUUACUCUAACCGGAAAAUCCUUCACUCCCACUUGCUUUACAAGGGUUUCAUGCCACAGUAUAAUGUUUGGACGAGGCACGGAGAAAUAGGGGUUAUGAUGGAAGACGGCGAAGAAGAAGAGUACGAUGACAACUAUGUGCCCCCUGAAUACAGUGAUGCUGCAACCGGGGGAGCUGGUGAAGAUCAAGAGGAACCAGACGAUGUGCCCAAUGAUGCUGCAACGGGUGAAGCUGCUCAAGAUCAAGAGGAACCAGACGAUGUGCCCGAUGAUGAUGAUCUCCGCCGGGUCAUUGUCGAUGCAAGGACGCAAUGUGAAAGUCAAAAGGAGAAGCUGAAGUUCGAUCGCAUGUUAGAGGAUCACAAAAAAGGGUUAUACCCCAAUUGCGAAGAUGGCAACACAAAGCUCGGUACCAUAUUGGAAUUGCUGCAGUGGAAGGCAGAGAAUGAUGUGACUGACAAAGGAUUUGAGAAGCUACUGAAAAUAUUGAAGAAGAAGCUUCCAAAGGAUAACGAAUUGCCCGACAGUACAUACGCAGCAAAGAAGGUCGUAUGCCCUCUAGGAUUGGAGGUGGAGAAGAUACAUGCAUGCCCUAGUGACUGCAUCCUCUACCGCGGUGCAUACAAGGAUCUGAACGCAUGCCCAGUAUGCGGUGCAUUGCGGUAUAAGAUCAGACGAGAUGGCCCUGGUGAUGUUGACGGUGAGCCCCCCAGGAAGAGGGUUCCUGCGAAGGUGAUGUGGUAUGCUCCUAUAAUACCAUGGUUGAAACGUCUGUUUAGAAACGAAGAGCAUGCCAAGUUGAUGCGAUGGCACAGUGAGAACCGAAAGAAAGAUGGGAAGUUGAGAGCACCCGCUGACGGGUCGCAGUGGAGAAAAAUCGAGACAAAGUACUGGGAUGAGUUUGCAAAGGACCCAAGGAAUGGAUGGUUUGCUUUAAGGGCGGAUGGCAUUAAUCCUUUCGGGGAGCAGAGUAGCAAUCACAGCACCUGGCCCGUGACUCUAUAUAUGUAUAACCUUCCUCCUUUGAUGUGCAUGAAGCGGAAGUUCAUUAUGAUGCCAGUUCUCAUCCAAGGCCCUAAGCAACCCGGCAACGAAAUUGAUGUGUACCUAAGGCCAUUAGUUGAAGAACUUUUACAGCUGUGGAAUGGAAACGGUGUACGUACGUGGGAUGAGCACAGACAGGAGGAAUUUAACCUUAAGGCAUUGCUGUUCGUGACCAUCAAUGAUUGGUCUGCUCUCAGUAACCUUGCAGGACAGACAAACAAAGGACACCACGCAUGCACGCACUGUUUAGAUGACACUGAAAGUAUAUACCUGGACAAAUGCAGGAAGAAUGUGUACCUGGUCCAUCGUCGAUUUCUUCCGACCAACCAUCAAUGUCGAAAUAAAGGCAAGCAUUUCAAAGGCGAGGCAGAUCACCGGAAGAAGCCCGCCAUGCGUACCGGUGAUCACGUACUUGCUAUGGUCAAUGAUUUACACUACGUAAUCUUUGGAAAGGGUCCCGGUGGACUAGCUGUUCCGAAUGACGCUGAGGGACACGCACCCAUGUGGAAGAAGAAAUCUAUAUUUUGGGACCUACCCUACUGGAAAGACCUAGAGGUCCGCUCCUCAAUCGACGUGAUGCACGUGGUGAAGAACCUUUGCGUGAACCUGCUAGGCUUCUUGGGCGUGUAUGGGAAGAAAAAAGAUACACCUGAGGCACGGGAGGACCUGCAACGUUUGCACAAAAAAGACGGCAUGCCUCCGAAGCAGUAUAAAGGUCCUGCCAGCUACGCUCUUACGAAAGAAGAGAAACAAAUCUUCUUUGAAUGCCUGCUCAGUAUGAAGGUCAUGACUGGCUUCUCGUCGAAUAUAAAGGGAAUAAUAAAUAUGCCAGAGAAAAAGUUUUAG